This 469-nucleotide ribosomal RNA is filed under the name uncultured bacterium. RNAcentral's name for it is "bacterial SSU rRNA". It matches the Rfam family "Bacterial small subunit ribosomal RNA", at positions 31 to 507 of the family's 1533-position model. The record is from RNAcentral.
AGGAACGCUGGCGGCGUGCUUAACACAUGCAAGUCGAACGGUGAUCUUGAGAGCUUGCUCUUGGGUGAUCAGUGGCGAACGGGUGAGUAACACGUGAGUAACCUGCCCCUGACUCUGGAAUAACUUCGGGAAACCGAAGCUAAUACCGGAUAUGACACAGAGCCGCAUGGUUUCUGUGUGGAAAGUUUUUCGGUUGGGGAUGGACUCGCGGCCUAUCAGCUUGUUGGUGAGGUAAUGGCUCACCAAGGCGACGACGGGUAGCCGGCCUGAGAGGGCGACCGGCCACACUGGGACUGAGACACGGCCCAGACUCCUACGGGAGGCAGCAGUGGGGAAUAUUGCACAAUGGGCGAAAGCCUGAUGCAGCGACGCCGCGUGAGGGAUGAAGGCCUUCGGGUUGUAAACCUCUUUCAGUAGGGAAGAAGCGCAAGUGACGGUACCUACAGAAGAAGCACCGGCUAACUACGUG